ACGACGCUGGCGGCGUGCCUAAUACAUGCAAGUCAGAGCGAACAGAAGGGAGCUUGCUCCCGGAUGUUAGCGGCGGACGGGUGAGUAACACGUGGGUAACCUGCCUGUAAGACUGGGAUAACUCCGGGAAACCGGAGCUAAUACCGGAUAGUUCCUUGAACCGCAUGGUUCAAGGAUGAAAGACGGUUUCGGCUGUCACUUACAGAUGGACCCGCGGCGCAUUAGCUAGUUGGUGGGGUAAUGGCUCACCAAGGCGACGAUGCGUAGCCGACCUGAGAGGGUGAUCGGCCACACUGGGACUGAGACACGGCCCAGACUCCUACGGGAGGCAGCAGUAGGGAAUCUUCCGCAAUGGACGAAAGUCUGACGGAGC
Molecule: ribosomal RNA, 373 nt
Filed under: uncultured Bacillus sp.
Lineage: Bacteria; Bacillati; Bacillota; Bacilli; Caryophanales; Bacillaceae
Description: bacterial SSU rRNA
Rfam family: Bacterial small subunit ribosomal RNA
Source: RNAcentral